This is a long non-coding RNA of Pan troglodytes (chimpanzee), 442 nucleotides long. RefSeq lists it as uncharacterized. The transcript is spliced from 4 exons. Lineage: Eukaryota; Metazoa; Chordata; Mammalia; Primates; Hominidae. The record is from RefSeq and is a predicted model, not a curated record.
UGCUCCGCUUCCGGGAGGCGGGGCUUCUGCGGGUUCCACCUCCCGAGCGCCCCUUGUGGCUACCAAGGACAGGCAACAGAGACAGGGUCUCACCAUGUAGGCCAGAUUAGUCUUGAACUCCUGGGCUCAAGCAAUCCGCCCAUCUUGGCCUCCCAAAGUGCUGGGAUUAUAGGUGUGAGCCACCGCGCCCGGCAACCCAGAAGUGGUUUUGACAGCACCAGCGCUUUCUGUGUCCACAAUCUACUCCCAACUAGAGGUCCACCCAGGACCCAGAGACCUGGAUUUGAGGCUGCUGGGCGGCAGAUGGAGCGAUCAGAAAACCAGAGGCACCCCAAUGAGAAAGAAAAAGUCAUGACCAGAAGUCAGUGUCAGUGAUUGCUGAUGUGUGGAACCAUCUGAUGAAUGAAGAGUUUGGGUAAAAAAUAAAGGGAACUGAUGAAAA